GCGGGUGUAGUUCAGUGGUAGAACAUCAGCUUCCCACGCUGAAAACGGGGGUUCGAUUCCCCUCACCCGCU
Molecule: transfer RNA, 71 nt
Filed under: bacterium
Lineage: Bacteria
Also listed under: 1 other name
Description: tRNA-Gly
Rfam family: tRNA
About the family: Transfer RNA (tRNA) molecules are approximately 80 nucleotides in length. Their secondary structure includes four short double-helical elements and three loops (D, anti-codon, and T loops).
Source: RNAcentral